Molecule: ribosomal RNA, 391 nt
Filed under: Cercozoa sp.
Lineage: Eukaryota; Cercozoa
Description: SSU rRNA
Rfam family: Eukaryotic small subunit ribosomal RNA
Source: RNAcentral
AGCUCCAAUAGCAUAUAUUAAAGUUGUUGCAGUUAAAAAGCUCGUAGUUGGAUUUCUGGCAUGAUGCGCCUGGCCCGCAGCUAAUAGCUUGUGUGUGCCGGUGUGCGUCUGCCAUCCAUUUGCACUCUGUGCCUUCCCUUCAUUGGGCCGGGCAUAUGAUGCAAAUCUUUUACUUUGAAAAAAUUAGAGUGUUUAAAGCAGGCAUUUGCUAUGAAUACAUUAGCAUGGAAUAAUAAUCUAGGACUUCGGUUUUAUUUUGUUGGUUUCUAAAUCUGGAGUAAUGAUUGAUAGGGAUAGUUGGGGGUGCUAGUAUUAAGGGGCCAGAGGUGAAAUUCUUGGAUUCUCUUAAGACUAACUUAUGCGAAAGCAUUCACCAAGGAUGUCUUCUUUA